Non-coding RNA from Paralichthys olivaceus (Japanese flounder), 3573 nucleotides. The record is from RefSeq and is a predicted model, not a curated record. Lineage: Eukaryota; Metazoa; Chordata; Actinopteri; Pleuronectiformes; Paralichthyidae.
AUGACGACGAAGAAGAAGGUGCUUUCCCGCCUGUUACUUUUGUUUACGGCUGAGGAAGGUGAAGCUACACUCCGGCACAGGGGAACAGCGGGUGUAGCACACCGGGUCUCGCAACUUUAUCCAGAAGAGAAGAGAAGCGAGGAAGACGGCGGCGCAACUGCUGUGGUGCGGUCUGUUUAAUCUGCCUAAUGGACGUCUUUAGGAAGAAGAGGGGCCUAACCGGCCAGAGUUUGACUGGGCUUAUCCAUCAGACAAAGGUCAAUGAUAUCAGGUGCCUCAUUCUUAGGGGACAGCCGGGCAUCUUGGGGGAGGAUCCCUCUGCCUUCUUCAGGACCUGCUCUGAUGUAAAUGACAACGGAUCAUAAAGUCAAACUGCAGUGGGAAUCCUCUGCAUGGAUGAAGACGAUCCUCAACUCAUCCACAGUAGGGAUCAUCUUGGAAGGCAGCGUGGUGAUGGACAACGUGGCAAACCUACCUCAGGCCGUCCGUCUUCUUCUUUGCCUAAUUUAUGCCCUGCACCUUGAUUACCCGAAGUAUAUGAAAAACACUUUCAUCUUUGUUCUGCAGGUAAUUAUGCUCAACCUUGGAAGAAGUGAGCUGACUCCUCAAAUUCAAAAUCUGCUCACAGUGUAAAACAGGGUUUUUGUGCUACUCCUCCAAAUUUAAAUGUUUUAAUGUUACACACAUGUAGGAAUACAUGUUUACAGUUUUUUGGUAUUUGCAGAGCUUGUGUUUUGGAAUUUGCGCUGACCUCAGACUUUCACCUUUAAAUAGACUUUGAUUUGAUUCAAUGCAAAAUCAUUUCAGGAGUUCUUAGUUGUAACACAAACUUAAUAUCCUAAAUGGAACAAGACAUCUGCACUUUAUCCUUGUCGGUAGCAUCAAAGUGAGAGCUCCCUUCAUUCAUAAGUUUUGGUCUGAUCGCCCCAGACCACAUUAGAAUGUGAUAGUUUCCCUUUAUAUUUAUAUUGUAUGUUCAAAUAAACAAGGCACUCAUUCACAAGUCAAAGAUGCAUUUCAGAAUAACUAUAACUGUCAGUUUCUAUUUACUUUUGAGUACAUUUGAAGCCCUGAUCCAAUUCGUUGUACCUGUAAAAACAUUGAAAGCGCUAUGAUAAGGGAUUUUUAUUUUAAUUCACAUCAAGCUAAUUAUUUUGGGCUGAUAAUGAUGUGCCUGAACUCAGAUAACUUUUUUUUUCCAUUGAUAAGCAAUUUUCCAGAAUUGAAAUAAAAGAAACUUCAAUCUAGAAAGUACAAUUUGUUCUAUGACUGAUUUACAUGUUCCAUCAUGUAGGAAAAAAAAAACAGGACACAUUUACAUGCACAUGCCCAUUUAUUGGAAUGAUAUAGAGUCUGUGUGCAGUCAUCAAAUUGAGCUUGGUCUUACAUUAAGGUGUAUCUUUUUCCUCACAACGAACACAAUCUUCACUCUCUUGUAGAGGAGAGUUUAACACUUGCAAGUAAAAAUCAAGAGUAAUGACAUUUCAGGGGAGGAGUUGGAAAAGUUAAGCCAAUAAAAGUUUCCAACUACAGGUAUAUAAACUGAUAACGGCACCAACCCACAGAGAGAGGAGGAUUAAGUUUUAAAACGUAAAUACUGUACCUGAAUAUUUAACAGUUAAAAGAAAUAAACCCGUUCCUUGAAGCAAACUAUAUCCAAAGAUGAUACAUUCUCCCUUCCUUGUACUGCAAAAUAAGAACCAGUGUCACUAAGCACAGUAAAGCGUCUAUAGUUUUAGAACAACACUUUUUAAUACUACAGAUAAUACAGAUGAAUUAUGCAUCACUGCUUAAAUAUAUAUUGUGCGGAGAAAAGUGACAAACAGAAUGUUGUGCUGAACAUGACAUCAACUAAAGCCGUUUCCAAUGAGAGUGCGUUACUGCUGCAUCAUUUAGUGACGCGGUGUGAAUGGGUUUGGAUUUAUUGGGACAAACUCGGAGCUUAAAAUCUUAGACUCGUCCUUUUCUAUUUAAGAGCGUUUCAUUCACCAGAAAAAUGUCCCGGCAGAAUGAGGAUUUUUAGGAGUUACUGUCGCACGCUGUUUUUGGAGCUACUUUUCAAAAAUAACUGUUAGAUGACUCAAGGCCAAACUGUCAAAGUGCAAUCGCAUCAGCAAGCAGCCGAGGAGGAGUUGGAGACACCAAGGGCAACUCUGAGAGCACUCUGCAAUAGAGCAGGGCUCUAAAUUGAACUUAAAAGAUUGGGGGUUAAAUUUACUUCACUGCUUUGACCACUAUUAAUUUGUUCAGUAACACUAAAGGUUGUUAAAGUGUUUCAGAAGCCACAUCUCUCACUGGGGUUUCUGUAGGGCUCGACAACUUAUUUAAUACUUUUUAAGAAGUUUUCAGAAACACAUAAAACUAAAUUUAAUACUUAUUUUUCAGUCAUCCAGCGCAAAGUAUGAAGAACCAGAUGGAAUGAUAUCAGUACCUUUGUAUUGCACCGUUUUCAGCAGAGUAUAACUACAAUUCCAUAUUCUAUAGUUGAUCUUAUUUAGAGAAACCAAACCUAAAAAUGGAUGUUUGAAACGAUUUUUGCCAAAAACUGGAAAGUGCCCUUGAGGAGAUGAAGAGCCUCCUCACUACUGUAGCUGCAGUAGUGAGUGUUGGCUGCAGUUGUGAUGGUGCUUCACAUAAGAUUUACAUCUCCUGGCAGCCAGAAACAAGAUUCAAUACGAUUUAAACAACUAACACGACAGCUGUCAGUAGACAACAGGAAAUAUUUAGGACUCUUUAAUGUGCUCUGAAGCAAACUAAGUUCAGUGCUUUUUAAGACCUGCAGAAGUAAAAUGGAUAGACACCACAAAUACAUCUGCCGUUAACCAUUUUCAUGCAUCCUUGUCGUCUGCAUUGGUUUAUGUGGUAUUUAAAAUCUGUAGAAUGUAUUUUUGUUUCUAUUUCAGUCCAUAUCUUACUAUUCAUAAAGUAUUUACACAUUAUAAACAUUAGACUGAUGCUAAUUCCGUGUGUUAAUUGCAACUUAAGAUAUUUCCCAGCUUCUAUUUCUUGACUUGAAAUAUAGGUUAACUUAAUAUAAAGGAUAUUUUUAAAGUGGCAUCAAUCUUGACCUUCUUUUGUUUUAAACUGGGUAAUAUUAGUGACAUUAUGACACCUAAGUUUUUUAAAGAUAUUUGAACUAAGGUAUUUUUGAUUUGGCUUUUAUUUAGGAAUUUAAUGCACCCAUUAGGCUUUGUGUAUGUUUGUUUCAGGGGAAAAUGGGGACUUGAAUCACACCACAAACUCAAUUGUUUGUGAUCACUCAAACACCAGGAAAUCUAUUUUUCACUGCUUCAAAGUAUGGUUGUGAAGUUUUUAGUUUUUUUUUUCUGGCAUUUUUGCCUUUAUUAUGAUAGUGACAGUGGAAAGGCAGGAAAGAGAGACUGAAGAUGACAUGCAGGUAACAGUCUGGGCUGGAUUCAUUCACAUGCAGCUGCUGCAGUACUCAGAGUUGCUUGUGAAGUUUUUAUAUGCAAGAAUGAUGCAGCAUUAAUUAACUCUCUAAUCUGAACAGAAAAUGUUUAUCCGGCAGAAAAACACGUCAUGAGAUGGCGGGUUUGGUGUGACCAGGCUGUG